Manis pentadactyla (Chinese pangolin) is the source of this 465-nucleotide long non-coding RNA. RefSeq lists it as uncharacterized. The record is from RefSeq and is a predicted model, not a curated record. The transcript is spliced from 3 exons. NCBI's taxonomy places the organism in Eukaryota, Metazoa, Chordata, Mammalia, Pholidota, Manidae.
CGGCGCCGGACUGCAGUUCGUGUUUCCCUGUUUGCCUCACCUCUGCAGGGUUCCUAGACACAGGCAGGACACAUCCAAAGCUCUCCACGAGACUGAGCACCUUCACUGACCUGUCUAAAAGCCCCACCCAUCUAAGAAAGGAAUUUGGAAAACAGCUCUCAUCUGGGUUACAGACUCAGUCCCAGUGCCCUCUAGACAAAGUCUGCAAUUUCUAUGGAAAAAGCAAAGAGGGACUUUGCAGAUGUGAUUAAGGAUCCUGAGAUGGGGAGAAUAUCUUGGAUUAGCUGUGUGGACCUAGUGUGGUCCUAGUCUGGGAAGCCAGAAGACAGAAGAGAAGGUGCUGUGGUGAUAGAAGGGAGUGAUGUGCCUUGAAGAAGGAAAAAGGAACCAGAAGCCAAGGAAAUGUGGCCACUAGAAGCUGAAAAAGGCAAGGAAAUAGAUGAUCACCUCUGGGCUUCCAGAAGG